CAACGUUCAAAUUGGUUCACAAAUCGACGUCGUACAUUUAAGGGAAGCCUCACAUAUCGAUUUUGUCCAUGAGAAACGUCAUAUGUUCGUUUCUCUGGAGACCCCCCCACCCCCCCUUAGAAACGUCACACAUAGUUAUCGAUAUUUUGUUCUUAUAGUACACAUAAGGUAAUUUUCUACUAUUUUUUUCGGUCGGCUAUUGGAGAUGCUUCCGCGAGGAAUAUGUCAUCUUCUGCUGACAUACCCUUUUUUAUUAAUAUAUAUAUAUACAUGAACUUCAAAAUUUCCAACGUUUCUCAAAAUUUCCAACGUUUCUGAUAAUUUUAGCGCGUUUUUCUCAAAAUUUGAGUGUUUCCAAUACAAGAAAGGCGUAAUAAUAUCAAUGUAUAGAUAUAGAACAGGUAUCAAUGCAUGCAUGAUAUACAUCAUGAAAUACCGAUAAUGUACACCAUGUUAUACUGAUUUGGAUGAAGUUGAUCGUACUUCCAAGAGUAAAAGUCCCCUCAGCAACAUUUGUAAAGGCUCUCUGUUCCCAUUUGCCAAUACUACGCCAUCUUCAAUCGUGAUGCAUUGUGGUGUAGAUAAAGCUAGUAAAGUAUAUGUAUGUCCCUGAACAUACGUAUACAAACACGAGAAUACAUAGUAUAGACGCGAAAUUACUGUUUGUUUCUGAACAAAGAGUAAAACACUUCGAUAUUUCAAAGGAAGACACUUCAUUACGUAUAUAAUAGUGCUAUACUAGCUUCCUGACAAAUUGCCUUCGUUCACCAUGGAGUUGUUCUCCACGUUUUUCAAGUAGUUUAGAAACAAACCAUAGAAGUUAAACACGGAUACACACACUCACAAAUCUAACCUUAUAUCCGUUUUUCUUUCGCCAGAAUUAUACUCCAAGGCUUACGACCUCUUCUUCAUGUUUUCAUUUCAAUGAACUGGUAACAGAAGCGCUUGAUAUGAUUGGAAAUUUAAACAAACAGGUAUGCGAAAACUGACCUUUGUUUCGCUCAGUUGGAGUCCGACAGUUUUAUGAAAUUGCGUUUUGAAAUUGCGUUUAAUUAAAGUAAUCGCAAGUGCGGGUAGGAAAUGAGCAAGAGACUGUUGAUAAACGUCUUAGUUUUCGAACGACAAAUACAUAUGCAUAUAGUGGACUGGCGAAAAGUAGUAUGUGCAUGAGAGUUGAACGUUGUUAAUGACAGAAAUUUCAUAAAUUUCAUCACAGCUUGAAAGAGCAUCACAAAAUUAAAUUAUAGUAAUCAUGAUUCCGAAGUUUCGUUGCGAAAUGUUGUAAAAUGCGGAUAAUAUAGCCUUGCGAAAUUUGCAAUUUUCAGUCAUUUUGUAUUACAAACGGGAAAUUGAUGCCCUAAUACCCGAUUGGGCUGUCAUUUUCCCGUUUGUAAUACAAAAUGACUGAAAAACGGUACACUUCGCAAGGCUAUAUUAUCCGCGUUUUACAACAUUUCGCAACGAAACGUUGGAAUAUUACUAAUUUUGUGAUGCUCUUUCAAACUGUGAUGAAAUAUAUAGAUCAAAAUUUUAGUUAUAAGGGGAAAGGUCCAUUAAUCGACAAAAUCAAACAAGUUGUGUUUUAAGAUUCUUGGUGACAAUGCUUUCAUUUCUCACACUUUUCUUAGCGUAAACUAGCAAUGGAAUUGUUUUAUACAGUUUGUUUUUAUUGGACUCGUCCAGGGUUUAUUGGACUCGUCAACCUGAUUUCAAUGCAUGUUAAGUAGAAAUGUUGACACAUGUUGCCUCGUGAUUUGUAAUGUAUGUGUAAACAUUUUCAAUUAACAUGCGUAGAAAUCAGAUUUUGUUGCAAGUUGCAGCAAUUUUGUUGCCCGUAUUACUCUACCUUAAGACAUACAUCUGGUUGCGAAAUUUGAAUGAUUAAUUACAUAAAACAUAAUUUAUAUUUUUUGGAAUUUGAGAAAGCAUGCAUAAUUCAUAUUAUUUUGAGGAAGGUUUGAAAACUUGAAAUCUUACCCGGAGGAAGGUUGAACACUUUUUGCAAUUCUGUUUUAAUAUACCCACAAUAACAAACGCAAGACCCUCACCUGCUUAUUAUUUUAUACUACAAGUUAGUACCACUAGGACCAAUAUAGAUGAUGUCAGGCGCUUCUAUAUGUAUCAUGAGCCUCUGGCAUGGGUAAAUUGGGCAACCACGCCCGAUAUAUAAAGACGUAAAUGAUUUUUGUCUCAACUUUUCCCCAUGUUUUGCAGGGCAAUCAUGGUUAAAUUGCGGACGGGCACUGAAGUGCAAAACGUCAGGGGCACUACUAGUUGCAGAUCGUUUGGUUACGAUUCAUGGAAGCAACUGUAUGAAGGUGCAGUUGGUGAUUGGCCUGAUGUAUGUCCUGUGGAUUAUUGUACCCGGAAUGCUAUAUAUGGAGCCCAUGUAAGGGUCCAUUUCAAUCGUGGUGGGGUAUGGAUUAUACCCAUGUGUGCGAAACACAAUCAUUAUACGAACAACGAUUGAAUGACUAUUACUGAUUCAAACACAAUUGCAGUGUACGCUGAGAAGGAACAUACAUGAAGUCUGUCUGAGAUAGAAUUUGGUUUUUGACAAUACACAGUUUCGAAAUGAAUGUACUGUUUAUAUAGUUGUAGAAGUGAUGAAUCAUUAAUAAGGCUACUGAGCAAUCUUGUCAAUAUAUUUAGGUCAAAUAUAAUUACCGUACAAUUAUAAAUUUCAGCAAGG
Paramuricea clavata is the source of this 2692-nucleotide non-coding RNA. NCBI's taxonomy places the organism in Eukaryota, Metazoa, Cnidaria, Anthozoa, Malacalcyonacea, Plexauridae. The record is from the annotation of a GenBank genome assembly.